CAGUAGCCGCGGUAACACGUAGGCGGCAAGCGUUGUCCGGAAUUAUUGGGCGUAAAGGGCUCGCAGGCGGUUUCUUAAGUCUGAUGUGAAAGCCCCCGGCUCAACCGGGGAGGGUCAUUGGAAACUGGGAAGCUUGAGUGCAGAAGAGGAGAGUGGAAUUCCACGUGUAGCGGUGAAAUGCGUAGAGAUGUGGAGGAACACCAGUGGCGAAGGCGACUCUCUGGUCUGUAACUGACGCUGAGGAGCGAAAGCGUGGGGAGCGAACAGGAUUAGAGACCCCUGUAGUCCCUGUCUCUUAUAC
RNAcentral lists this ribosomal RNA (301 nucleotides) under uncultured bacterium. Its description in RNAcentral is "partial 16S ribosomal RNA". It matches the Rfam family "Bacterial small subunit ribosomal RNA", at positions 509 to 807 of the family's 1533-position model. The record is from RNAcentral.